Molecule: ribosomal RNA, 1003 nt
Filed under: Citrobacter youngae
Lineage: Bacteria; Pseudomonadati; Pseudomonadota; Gammaproteobacteria; Enterobacterales; Enterobacteriaceae
Description: partial 23S ribosomal RNA
Rfam family: Bacterial large subunit ribosomal RNA
Source: RNAcentral
AAUCCCAGUGUACGUUUCGACACACUAUCAUUACGUGAAUCCAUAGCGUAAUGAAGCGAACCGGGGGAACUGAAACAUCUAAGUACCCCGAGGAAAAGAAAUCAACCGAGAUUCCCCCAGUAGCGGCGAGCGAACGGGGAGCAGCCCAGAGUCUGAAUCAGCUUGUGUGUUAGUGGAACGGUCUGGAAAGUCCGACGGUACAGGGUGAUAGUCCCGUACACCAAAAUGCACAGGUUGUGAACUCGAAGAGUAGGGCGGGACACGUGGUAUCCUGUCUGAAUAUGGGGGGACCAUCCUCCAAGGCUAAAUACUCCUGACUGACCGAUAGUGAACCAGUACCGUGAGGGAAAGGCGAAAAGAACCCCGGCGAGGGGAGUGAAAAAGAACCUGAAACCGUGUACGUACAAGCAGUGGGAGCCUCUUUAUGGGGUGACUGCGUACCUUUUGUAUAAUGGGUCAGCGACUUAUAUUCUGUAGCAAGGUUAACCGUAUAGGGGAGCCGAAGGGAAACCGAGUCUUAACUGGGCGUUAAGUUGCAGGGUAUAGACCCGAAACCCGGUGAUCUAGCCAUGGGCAGGUUGAAGGUUGGGUAACACUAACUGGAGGACCGAACCGACUAAUGUUGAAAAAUUAGCGGAUGACUUGUGGCUGGGGGUGAAAGGCCAAUCAAACCGGGAGAUAGCUGGUUCUCCCCGAAAGCUAUUUAGGUAGCGCCUCGUGAACUCAUCUUCGGGGGUAGAGCACUGUUUCGGCUAGGGGGUCAUCCCGACUUACCAACCCGAUGCAAACUGCGAAUACCGAAGAAUGUUAUCACGGGAGACACACGGCGGGUGCUAACGUCCGUCGUGAAGAGGGAAACAACCCAGACCGCCAGCUAAGGUCCCAAAGUCACAGUUAAGUGGGAAACGAUGUGGGAAGGCACAGACAGCCAGGAUGUUGGCUUAGAAGCAGCCAUCAUUUAAAGAAAGCGUAAUAGCUCACUGGUCGAGUCGGCCUGCGCGGA